UACGUAGGGGGCAAGCGUUAUCCGGAUUUACUGGGUGUAAAGGGCGCGUAGGCGGGAAUGCAAGUCAGAUGUGAAAUCCAUGGGCUUAACCCAUGAACUGCAUUUGAAACUGUUUCCCUUGAGUAUCGGAGAGGUCAUCGGAAUUCCUAGUGUAGCGGUGAAAUGCGUAGAUAUUAGGAAGAACACCAGUGGCGAAGGCGGAUGACUGGACGACAACUGACGGUGAGGCGCGAAAGCGUGGGGAGCAAACAGG
RNAcentral lists this ribosomal RNA (253 nucleotides) under uncultured Oscillospira sp. Its description in RNAcentral is "partial 16S ribosomal RNA". It matches the Rfam family "Bacterial small subunit ribosomal RNA", at positions 524 to 776 of the family's 1533-position model. The record is from RNAcentral. Lineage: Bacteria; Bacillati; Bacillota; Clostridia; Eubacteriales; Oscillospiraceae.